Molecule: long non-coding RNA, 4721 nt
Filed under: Triticum aestivum (bread wheat)
Lineage: Eukaryota; Viridiplantae; Streptophyta; Magnoliopsida; Poales; Poaceae
Description: long non-coding RNA (TAES_LNC023521)
Source: RNAcentral
UUCGAGCUAAGCUACAGGAGUAUGCCACCAGAUUUGAGGCUAUGCUUUGCUUAUUAUUGUGCAGUCUUCCCAACUGGCCACAACAUAGUCAAAGAUGACCUGGUUCAUCAAUGGAUUGCUCUGCACCUCAUUGAGCCAUCUGAAACAUUGUCUGCCGCACAGAUAGCAGAGGAGCAUAUUACCAGGCUUCAGAACAUGUCAUUCCUUCAAACUGCAGAGCUGGACCACGUGAGUAAUUGUCUACUACUCUAUUGUACAAAAUCUGCUGACUUAUAAAGACAGAAAACUGAAGUAAAAUUUGAGUGAAUUGUAUCAUACUUGUUCCUACUGGAUGGAUUACUAAUGUGUGGAUAUAGUAGUAGGUAUGCCCGAGGGACAUGAUAUAGUGAAGCGAAAGAACAACAUACAUCUAGGAAACUAAGACAUAUAUAGGCUACUUACUAAUUUUUAAUUGGAAGAAGAGGAUCCAAUCGGCUGUCCGAUCACGCGCUGGAAUCGGCCGCCUUGGUCGAGCAACACGUGCCGCCCAAGUUGCUGGCUCCCUUCGACAUUAUCCUUUCCUGAGCCACCCCUCCACAAAGGGCCUCUUUGAUUCAAAUAAUUUCUAAAAUAAUUUUGUAGAAUUCUAAUCUUUGNNNNNNNNNNCACUUGCCCCCUCUCGCUCGCCUCUGCGCCUCCCCUCCCCCAGAUCCACCUCUCCCCUCUCCUCCCGCUCGAUCUCGAGCGCGCCCAUCGCCAUGGCCCCAUCCUUGUCACGGCCACCGUCGCCACCUCGCCUCGUCCCCGUGACAGAUCGGUUCUCCGGCCCUCGCUACAUCCUCCCCGACCACCUGCUCGAGCCGGGACCCCCUGCAUCACCCCCCAACGCCGUCGCCUUCUUCCUUGGGUCGCCGCCAUCUUCUUCGACUCCGGCGACUGCUGCUGCUACUAAGCCUCUCACGGGCCUUUCUUGGCCGCACGGUGAGCUCCUCCCUUCCUCCCUUCCUCUCCUCCCGUCGUGCUUUUUGCCGUAGCUAGCUCGCCCGCAAGCCGAGCUCCGCCGUCUGCCAUUGUCGUCAUAGGGCUCGCCUCCGAGCUCCUCCGCUCGAGCCAGUAGCUCCGACGAGCUCCUGGAGCGCCAUAGACCUCGCCUAGCCCUUUACUUCGCUCGCACACGCUCUGUAGCGCCGAUCCUGAACUCCGGCCGAACGCGCCGCCCGCCACUGUCGAUGUAGCGCUCCAUUCCGGUCGAGUUAGCCCACGGGACCGCCGUAGAUCGAUGCGGCGUCGGACGCCCGGUCGAACGCGCCUAACCGCAUCUCUCCCCGUGCCCUGUAGCUUUUUUUCGGCGAAGUCCGGCGAUGCUCCGCCGCGGAAAUGGUCGCCGGCGCGUCUCCGGUGCCGCCCGCCGACGUGGCCCAUCAGGCCCCACCUCACAGCCACUGACCGCGGGCCCCAUGGGCCCCAGAUGACUGGGUUGACCCAGUCAACUGCUGACUGGGCACCAGUGGGCCACUGACGUGUGGGUCCCGCGCGUAAUUAAUCUAAUUUGAAGUUAAAACUUUAAUUAGUAAAUAGAUUAGUCUAAUGUAUCACUGACAUAUUGGGCCCACACCCCUUAUUAGUUUAGUUAGAUUAGUUAAUUCGCUGUUAUAGCCACUCUCACUGACCAGUGGGUCCCGCUGGACCCACAGGUCAGGUUUGACCUGGUCAGCCGACCAGCUGGCUGCUGACGUCAUCCUCUAGUCAUGCUGACGUCAUAAUUCCAAUUCUGUUAAUUUAGAUAAUUCCAAAAUAUGUUUUAAUCUUUGAAAAUUCGUAGAAAAUAAACCGUAGCUCGGAUGAAAAAGUUUUAUACAUGAAAGUUGCUCAGAACGACAAGGCAAAUUGGAAUGCGUGGUCCGUUUACCUGUCACAUGCCUCUAUCUGUCUGAACAUGGAACAUUUCCCCUCCGGUCAUCUGUCUCACACAGGUCCGGAACCGGGAAAGCAUUUCCGGUUGAAUUCCCCCUUCACCUAUAUCGUGUAACCCUGUGUUAGAACACCUCUAGCAUCGCUUAUUGUCAUGUUAUGCAUAUGUUUGCGUGUAUUUACUGUUUCUUCCCCUCUUCUCUCCGGUAGACCCCGGGACCGCUGCUGAUGCCCCUACGAUCGACUACGUCGACGACGACCCUCCUUCUCGCCUGAGCAACCAGGCAAGCCCCCCCUUUGAUCAUCUUGAUAUCGCCCAUUCCAUUCUCUCAUGCUUGCAUUAGAUUUUGCUAUUGUUAUUGAUUGUUCCUAUUCUGAUGCAUAGCCUGCUUUUGUAACCUGCUCAUUGUACCUUACCUGCUUAUCCUAAACUGCUUAGUAUAGGUUGGUUAGUGAUCCAUUAGUGACCCCCACCUUGUCCUUGUUGCCCCUGCUUCAUCUUCGACGACUCGAUCAACGUGAUCGAUGACCAGAGCCUGACACCUCACAUCACAUCACGCCCCUUUAGUUGCUCGACUCUGCAGAGCUACUAUCGAGUGCUGAGGGUGAUCCCUCAUAAUGCACUCCUGAUGAUAAUUCUGUAGUGUAGCUAUUCGGGCGUGGUCAUCGAGGGUGAUUUCCUCUUUCACCAUUCCUGAUACGGCUCUGUCGUUCAACACCUCAAGUGUGAACCUCGAGGGUGGUCCCUCUUAAAUUCACCUUGAUGAUUACAUUGAGUGGAAUCCACCGGGGGUGAUUCCCCGGGUUUUCCCCUUGAUGUCUGGACACACGGUUACCUUGACUUUACUUGAGACCAUUGUUGAAGUCGGGUCGGCCCUGAGGGGUACCCGCGAGUUGAUGUGAAAAUCGGGCGGGCCCGUAGAGCACCCGCGAGUUUUCCACGUGGCACGGCCGGGCAGUCUGGGCCCUUGCCGUAAGUCCAUGAGACGGGGCGACGGGGUCACAUUAUCGUGAGUCUCUGCUCGUCUCCGCGAGCCCCCAAUGCACUAACAGGUUUGGGUAUUUGUUCNNNNNNNNNNUCCGCGGUAAUGGAUGUUCAGACUUAUAUCCUGAUCUUAUAUAACUAGAAACGGAUACUUGAGAUAUGUGAUGGAUAUGUGGCUCCGAGAUUGCUUUCCCGCAGGGAGUCGAGGAAGGAUCUCUGGGCGUUGAUGUUACAACAUGCUUGUUAAAUAUUAAAAUGUUACUCUUUACUCUUCUACAUGCUGCAAGAUGCUUGGAGCUGCUUGAAGAUGCUAGUCUUCGAUAGGCUAGGCCUUCCCCCUCUAUUCUGGCAUUCUGCAGUUCAGUCCACAGAUACAAACCUUCCUUUUGAUACCAAUGCAUACUUAGUAUACAUCUGAUGCUUGCGAGUACUUUGGAUGAGUACUCACGGUUGCUUUGCUACCCCUUUUCCCCCUUCUUUCUUCUUUCCGGUUGAUGCAACCAAAUGAUGGAUCCCUGGAGCCAGAUGCCACCGUCGAUGGAUACUACUGUAUGGAGACCGCCGACGACCAGGAGUAGUUAGGAGGUCCCAGGCAGGAGGCCUUGCCUCUUCGAUCGUUGAUGUUUGUGCUAGCCUUCUUAAGGCAUCCUUGUUUAACUAAUGUCUGUACUCAGAUAUUGUUGCUUCCGCUACUGCUUGUGUAUCGAGCUAUGUAUUCGAGCCUUCGAGGCCCCUGGCUUGUAAUAUAAAGCUUGUAUUAUUUCUAUUUGUGUCUAGAGUUGUGUUGUGAUAUCUUCCCGUGAGUCCCUGAUCUUGAUCAUACACAUUUGCGUGUAUGAUUAGUGUACGAUUGAAUCGGGGGCGUCACAGGUGAGGAUAGGUCAUUGUUGUAGUUUGUCGAUCGCUUUGAGUUUUUCUCUCUCGCGCUUAGGCAUAGUUUGGUCUUGUAUUACUUUGCUAUUUGCCGACUUGUUUUUUGGUGUUUGUGUGUGCGUAUGUUGUUUAUUGUGUGCAUUCUAACUAUGUAGAGUCAGAUGUGUUGAGUAUUGUGUCUAUAGCUACUUGACGCUUCAUUUGGAGUCAGUAAAUUCACCCUUUGUGAAAGGAAAAAACCCUGAUAUUUCCCGAGUGUGGUUAUCCCUUGCAAGAUUCGAGCUAAGCUACAGGAGUAUGCCACCAGAUUUGAGGCUAUGCUUUGCUUAUUAUUGUGCAGUCUUCCCAACUGGCCACAACAUAGUCAAAGAUGACCUGGUUCAUCAAUGGAUUGCUCUGCACCUCAUUGAGCCAUCUGAAACAUUGUCUGCCGCACAGAUAGCAGAGGAGCAUAUUACCAGGCUUCAGAACAUGUCAUUCCUUCAAACUGCAGAGCUGGACCACGUGAGUAAUUGUCUACUACUCUAUUGUACAAAAUCUGCUGACUUAUAAAGACAGAAAACUGAAGUAAAAUUUGAGUGAAUUGUAUCAUACUUGUUCCUACUGGAUGGAUUACUAAUGUGUGGAUAUAGUAGUAGGUAUGCCCGAGGGACAUGAUAUAGUGAAGCGAAAGAACAACAUACAUCUAGGAAACUAAGACAUAUAUAGGCUACUUACUAAUUUUUAAUUGGAAGAAGAGGAUCCAAUCGGCUGUCCGAUCACGCGCUGGAAUCGGCCGCCUUGGUCGAGCAACACGUGCCGCCCAAGUUGCUGGCUCCCUUCGACAUUAUCCUUUCCUGAGCCACCCCUCCACAAAGGGCCUCUUUGAUUCAAAUAAUUUCUAAAAUAAUUUUGUAGAAUUCUAAUCUUUGAACAACAUGGAAGCUUCUUGUUAUGAUAAUAGCCCCCUUGCGAUAAGUUCAUCUUGUAUCCA